GACGAACGCUGGCGGCGUGCUUAACACAUGCAAGUCGAACGGAAAGGCCCUGCUUUUGUGGGGUGCUCGAGUGGCGAACGGGUGAGUAACACGUGAGUAACCUGCCCUUGACUUUGGGAUAACUUCAGGAAACUGGGGCUAAUACCGGAUAGGAGCUCCUGCUGCAUGGUGGGGGUUGGAAAGUUUCGGCGGUUGGGGAUGGACUCGCGGCUUAUCAGCUUGUUGGUGGGGUAGUGGCUUACCAAGGCUUUGACGGGUAGCCGGCCUGAGAGGGGGACCGGCCACAUGAGUACUACGAUACGGCCCAGAAUCCUACGGGAGGCAGCGGUGGAGAAUAUUGCACAACGGGGGGAAGUCAGAUGCAGCAACGCCGGGUGCGUGAUGACGUGUUUCGGGUUGUAAACCGCUUUCGCCUGUGACGAGGCGUGAGUGACGGUAAUGGGUAAAGAAGCACCGGCUAACUACGUG
Molecule: ribosomal RNA, 468 nt
Filed under: uncultured bacterium
Lineage: Bacteria
Description: partial 16S ribosomal RNA
Rfam family: Bacterial small subunit ribosomal RNA
Source: RNAcentral